UAGGGAAUCUUCCGCAAUGGACGCAAGUCUGACGGAGCAACGCCGCGUGAGUGAAGAAGGAUUUCGGUUCGUAAAACUCUGUUGUUAGAGAAGAACAGCGCAUAGAGUAACUGUUAUGCGUGUGACGGUAUCUAACCAGAAAGCCACGGCUAACUACGUGCCAGCAGCCGCGGUAAUACGUAGGUGGCAAGCGUUGUCCGGAUUUAUUGGGCGUAAAGCGAGCGCAGGCGGUCAAUUAAGUCUGAUGUGAAAGCCCCCGGCUCAACCGGGGAGGGUCAUUGGAAACUGGUUGACUUGAGUGCAGAAGAGGAGAGUGGAAUUCCAUGUGUAGCGGUGAAAUGCGUAGAUAUGUGGAGAAACACCAGUGGCGAAGGCGACUCUCUGGUCUGUAACUGACGCUGAGGUUCGAAAGCGUGGGUAGCAAACAGG
RNAcentral lists this ribosomal RNA (429 nucleotides) under Bacteroidota bacterium. RNAcentral describes it as "Bacteroidetes bacterium partial 16S ribosomal RNA". It matches the Rfam family "Bacterial small subunit ribosomal RNA", at positions 355 to 776 of the family's 1533-position model. Lineage: Bacteria; Pseudomonadati; Bacteroidota. The record is from RNAcentral.